ACGGAAGGCAGCAGUGGGGAAUAUUGGACAAUGGGGGGAACCCUGAUCCAGCGACGCCGCGUGAGUGAAGAAGUAUUUCGGUAUGUAAAGCUCUAUCAGCAGGGAAGAAAAUGACGGUACCUGACUAAGAAGCCCCGGCUAACUACGUGCCAGCAGCCGCGGUAAUACGUAGGGGGCAAGCGUUAUCCGGAUUUACUGGGUGUAAAGGGAGCGUAGACGGCAAUGCAAGUCUGAAGUGAAAUCCCGCGGCUCAACUGCGGAGCUGCUUUGGAAACUGCAUAGCUGGAGUGUCGGAGAGGUGAGUGGAAUUCCCAGUGUAGCGGUGAAAUGCGUAGAUAUUGGGAGGAACACCGGAGGCGAAGGCGGCUCACUGGACGAUAACUGACGUUGAGGCUCGAAAGCGUGGGGAGCAAACAGGAUUAGAUACCCUGGUA
This 434-nucleotide ribosomal RNA is filed under the name uncultured Lachnospiraceae bacterium. Its description in RNAcentral is "bacterial SSU rRNA". It matches the Rfam family "Bacterial small subunit ribosomal RNA", at positions 341 to 792 of the family's 1533-position model. Lineage: Bacteria; Bacillati; Bacillota; Clostridia; Lachnospirales; Lachnospiraceae. The record is from RNAcentral.